GCAAUGCCGCGUGUGUGAAGAAGGCCUCUCGGGUUGUAAAGCACUUUUGUCCGGAAAGAAAUCCUUGGCUCUAAUACAGUCGGGGGAUGACGGUACCGGAAGAAUAAGCACCGGCUAACUACGUGCCAGCAGCCGCGGUAAUACGUAGGGUGCGAGCGUUAAUCGGAAUUACUGGGCGUAAAGCGUGCGCAGGCGGUUUGCUAAGACCGAUGUGAAAUCCCCGGGCUCAACCUGGGAACUGCAUUGGUGACUGGCAGGCUAGAGUAUGGCAGAGGGGGGUAGAAUUCCACGUGUAGCAGUGAAAUGCGUAGAGAUGUGGAGGAAUACCGAUGGCGAAGGCAGCCCCCUGGGCCAAUACUGACGCUCAUGCACGAAAGCGUGGGGAGCAAACAGGAUUAGAUACCCUGGUAGUCCACGCCCUAAACGAUGUCAACUAGUUGUUGGGGAUUCAUUUCCUUAGUAACGUAGCUAACGCGUGAAGUUGACCGCCUGGGGAGUACGGUCGCAAGAUUAAAACUCAAAGGAAUUGACGGGGACCCGCACAAGCGGUGGAUGAUGUGGAUUAAUUCGAUGCAACGCGAAAAACCUUACCUACCCUUGACAUGGUCGGAAUCCUGCU
RNAcentral lists this ribosomal RNA (619 nucleotides) under Burkholderia sp. IBa220. RNAcentral's name for it is "bacterial SSU rRNA". It matches the Rfam family "Bacterial small subunit ribosomal RNA", at positions 391 to 1002 of the family's 1533-position model. Lineage: Bacteria; Pseudomonadati; Pseudomonadota; Betaproteobacteria; Burkholderiales; Burkholderiaceae. The record is from RNAcentral.